UACGGGGGGUGCAAGCGUUGUUCGGAAUUACUGGGCGUAAAGGGCUCGUAGGUGGCCAACUAAGUCAGACGUGAAAUCCCUCAGCUUAACUGGGGAACUGCGUCUGAUACUGGAUGGCUUGAGUUUGGGAGAGGGAUGCGGAAUUCCAGGUGUAGCGGUGAAAUGCGUAGAUAUCUGGAGGAACACCGGUGGCGAAGGCGGCAUCCUGGACCAACACUGACACUGAGGAGCGAAAGCCAGGGGAGCAAACGGG
This 253-nucleotide ribosomal RNA is filed under the name uncultured bacterium. RNAcentral describes it as "partial 16S ribosomal RNA". It matches the Rfam family "Bacterial small subunit ribosomal RNA", at positions 524 to 776 of the family's 1533-position model. The record is from RNAcentral.